This 1504-nucleotide ribosomal RNA is filed under the name Enterobacter sp. RIT418. RNAcentral's name for it is "bacterial SSU rRNA". It matches the Rfam family "Bacterial small subunit ribosomal RNA". The record is from RNAcentral. Lineage: Bacteria; Pseudomonadati; Pseudomonadota; Gammaproteobacteria; Enterobacterales; Enterobacteriaceae.
AAAUUGAAGAGUUUGAUCAUGGCUCAGAUUGAACGCUGGCGGCAGGCCUAACACAUGCAAGUCGAGCGGUAGCACAGAGAGCUUGCUCUCGGGUGACGAGCGGCGGACGGGUGAGUAAUGUCUGGGAAACUGCCCGAUGGAGGGGGAUAACUACUGGAAACGGUAGCUAAUACCGCAUAACGUCGCAAGACCAAAGAGGGGGACCUUCGGGCCUCUUGCCAUCGGAUGUGCCCAGAUGGGAUUAGCUAGUAGGUGGGGUAACGGCUCACCUAGGCGACGAUCCCUAGCUGGUCUGAGAGGAUGACCAGCCACACUGGAACUGAGACACGGUCCAGACUCCUACGGGAGGCAGCAGUGGGGAAUAUUGCACAAUGGGCGCAAGCCUGAUGCAGCCAUGCCGCGUGUAUGAAGAAGGCCUUCGGGUUGUAAAGUACUUUCAGCGGGGAGGAAGGCGAUAAGGUUAAUAACCUUGUCGAUUGACGUUACCCGCAGAAGAAGCACCGGCUAACUCCGUGCCAGCAGCCGCGGUAAUACGGAGGGUGCAAGCGUUAAUCGGAAUUACUGGGCGUAAAGCGCACGCAGGCGGUCUGUCAAGUCGGAUGUGAAAUCCCCGGGCUCAACCUGGGAACUGCAUUCGAAACUGGCAGGCUUGAGUCUCGUAGAGGGGGGUAGAAUUCCAGGUGUAGCGGUGAAAUGCGUAGAGAUCUGGAGGAAUACCGGUGGCGAAGGCGGCCCCCUGGACGAAGACUGACGCUCAGGUGCGAAAGCGUGGGGAGCAAACAGGAUUAGAUACCCUGGUAGUCCACGCCGUAAACGAUGUCUAUUUGGAGGUUGUGCCCUUGAGGCGUGGCUUCCGGAGCUAACGCGUUAAAUAGACCGCCUGGGGAGUACGGCCGCAAGGUUAAAACUCAAAUGAAUUGACGGGGGCCCGCACAAGCGGUGGAGCAUGUGGUUUAAUUCGAUGCAACGCGAAGAACCUUACCUACUCUUGACAUCCAGAGAACUUUCCAGAGAUGGAUUGGUGCCUUCGGGAACUCUGAGACAGGUGCUGCAUGGCUGUCGUCAGCUCGUGUUGUGAAAUGUUGGGUUAAGUCCCGCAACGAGCGCAACCCUUAUCCUUUGUUGCCAGCGGUUAGGCCGGGAACUCAAAGGAGACUGCCAGUGAUAAACUGGAGGAAGGUGGGGAUGACGUCAAGUCAUCAUGGCCCUUACGAGUAGGGCUACACACGUGCUACAAUGGCGUAUACAAAGAGAAGCGACCUCGCGAGAGCAAGCGGACCUCAUAAAGUACGUCGUAGUCCGGAUUGGAGUCUGCAACUCGACUCCAUGAAGUCGGAAUCGCUAGUAAUCGUGGAUCAGAAUGCUACGGUGAAUACGUUCCCGGGCCUUGUACACACCGCCCGUCACACCAUGGGAGUGGGUUGCAAAAGAAGUAGGUAGCUUAACCUUCGGGAGGGCGCUUACCACUUUGUGAUUCAUGACUGGGGUGAAGUCGUAACAAGGU